This is a non-coding RNA of Populus trichocarpa (black cottonwood), 156 nucleotides long. The record is from Rfam. Lineage: Eukaryota; Viridiplantae; Streptophyta; Magnoliopsida; Malpighiales; Salicaceae.
UCUAGAACUCGAGAUAUAGGCUGAACUCCGAACAGUGUCUGGGCUGCAGAAUAGAUUCAGAUUUUUCUUUUGUUGCUAAGAUUUAAACUUGAAAAUGAUAGCUUUGAAUCUUGGACUCUUCAUGAAUAUUUUAGGCUUAUAUCUUAGAUUUCCAUC